AUGCAAGUCGAACGGUAACAGGAAGCAGCUUGCUGCUUUGCUGACGAGUGGCGGACGGGUGAGUAAUGUCUGGGGAUCUGCCUGAUGGAGGGGGAUAACUACUGGAAACGGUAGCUAAUACCGCAUAACGUCGCAAGACCAAAGAGGGGGACCUUCGGGCCUCUUGCCAUCAGAUGAACCCAGAUGGGAUUAGCUAGUAGGUGGGGUAACGGCUCACCUAGGCGACGAUCCCUAGCUGGUCUGAGAGGAUGACCAGCCACACUGGAACUGAGACACGGUCCAGACUCCUACGGGAGGCAGCAGUGGGGAAUAUUGCACAAUGGGCGCAAGCCUGAUGCAGCCAUGCCGCGUGUAUGAAGAAGGCCUUCGGGUUGUAAAGUACUUUCAGCGAGGAGGAAGGUGGUGAGCUUAAUACGCUCAUCAAUUGACGUUACUCGCAGAAGAAGCACCGGCUCACUCCGUGCCAGCAGCCGCGGUAAUACGGAGGGUGCAAGCGUUAAUCGGAAUUACUGGGCGUUAAGCGCACGCAGGCGGUCUGUCAAGUCGGAUGUGAAAUCCCCGGGCUCAACCUGGGAACUGCAUCCGAAACUGGCAGGCUUGAGUC
Molecule: ribosomal RNA, 604 nt
Filed under: uncultured Gammaproteobacteria bacterium
Lineage: Bacteria; Pseudomonadati; Pseudomonadota; Gammaproteobacteria
Description: bacterial SSU rRNA
Rfam family: Bacterial small subunit ribosomal RNA
Source: RNAcentral